RNAcentral lists this ribosomal RNA (490 nucleotides) under uncultured bacterium. Its description in RNAcentral is "partial 16S ribosomal RNA". It matches the Rfam family "Bacterial small subunit ribosomal RNA", at positions 30 to 507 of the family's 1533-position model. The record is from RNAcentral.
UGAACGCUGGCGGUAGGCCUAGCACAUGCACGUCGAACGGCAGCACAGUAAGAGCUUGCUCUUACGGGUGGCGAGUGGCGGACGGGUGAGGAAUACAUCGGAAUCUACUUUUUCGUGGGGGAUAACGUAGGGAAACUUACGCUAAUACCGCAUACGACCUACGGGUGAAAGCAGGGGAUCUUCGGACCUUGCGCGAUUGAAUGAGCCGAUGUCGGAUUAGCUAGUUGGCGGGGUAAAGGCCCACCAAGGCGACGAUCCGUAGCUGGUCUGAGAGGAUGAUCAGCCACACUGGAACUGAGACACGGUCCAGACUCCUACGGGAGGCAGCAGUGGGGAAUAUUGGACAAUGGGCGCAAGCCUGAUCCAGCCAUACCGCGUGGGUGAAGAAGGCCUUCGGGUUGUAAAGCCCUUUUGUUGGGAGAGAAAAGCAGCAGGUUAAUACCCCGCUGUUCUGACGGUACCCAAAGAAUAAGCACCGGCUAACUUCGUG